AGUCCUAGCAAUUUCUAAUCUACCCAGUUAGCCCCUCUUGAGUCCCAGGUCUUUACAUUGAUUACUGGGUUUAGAACAAGAAACUAAAGAAUCAGGAGAUUACAGGCUGUGCGGUGUAUAGAGCAGGGUUUGGGAGUCAGGGCUCCUGGAUUGCACUUGUGGCUCUGCUGCUGUGGCUUUGGAUGAGUCCUUUUGAUAAUAUUAACCUCUUAACCCCCAAUCACAAAAUGAAAUGCUCUGAGCUCCAGGGAGGGGGAACGGUGCUGGAACACGUCAGGCUGUUAGUAACCACCCAGCUCUCUUGGCUCCAUGUGCUGAUGUCCCCGCUCCUUGCUGCUCCCCACAGGUGUGUGAGGGGGGAAGCAUCUUCCCAGGCCCCAUGUGGGACAUUAGAGCCUCCUGGGAGCAUCACCCCCAUCCUGAACCCCGAUGUUCACAUAUAUGUACAUUCUGGGAACAGAAAAGACCCUUUGGAUGGAAACUCACAGCCACCUACAGUUGAUAUAGCUCCAGUCACCCUGUUUGCAGGAUUUAGGGGCUCACCCUGGUGUCCUAGCUAAGCCCCAGCUCUGAGAUUCCAUUCCACACCUUCUGCAUUCUCAGUUAAGGCAAGGAAUGAGGAUGACUCCUGUGGCCCAGGUCAGUGGUGGGCGAAAGGAUCUAUUUAUUGCCCACACUCAUCUCACAGGGAAGUGUGAGGGUUAUUUAAUGAAUCAUCUUGAGGGGUGGGGGUUUUGAAAUCGUUGGGUCAGGGAGAGUUCAUGGCCCAGCUACACUGAGAAACUCAACAGACUUUGCACCCAUUUUCCUGGUCCUUGGGAUGAUUGCUCAGCUGCGCCGGCUGCUAGGGAGGGAGUGCAGCUUCUUUGAAAUAGGUUUGUCAAACAGACUUUUCAGGACUCUUGAGUGGAGCUACAUCCCAUCCAUCUGCCGCUCCAGCCAAGCUGGUGAGAGCCACUAUGGAGAUGAGGCAUUGAAAAUGAUUUCGGAACAUGAAGCCUCCUAGACCAAGUGCCUGUAGUUCUGCUUACAUGUGUCCUGCUGUUCAUUCAAGCAUAGUUUAGUAGAUGGCUGCUCUUGCACAUAGGAAUAGACAAACUUCAGCCUUUGGGACCUACAUGCUCAGCUUUGACCCAAGACAGGGAUCCUUGUUAAUGCUGUGAGACUUUAUUGUGUACCAGGCAGACAGAAGGGGGCUGUAAAGAGAUUGAGAUGGUCUGGUGCAGUGCACUGACAAGCUGUUGCUCACGGUCAAAAAUGUUCACUAACUACAAUAACUGAACAU
Mauremys reevesii (Reeves's turtle) is the source of this 1285-nucleotide long non-coding RNA. RefSeq lists it as uncharacterized. NCBI's taxonomy places the organism in Eukaryota, Metazoa, Chordata, Testudines, Geoemydidae. The record is from RefSeq and is a predicted model, not a curated record. The transcript is spliced from 3 exons.